AUAUAUUGCUGUGUGUAGUCUUUGCCUGUCAGCCCAUGAUAGGCUUUUUUUUUG
This 54-nucleotide unclassified non-coding RNA is filed under the name Xenorhabdus doucetiae. RNAcentral describes it as "RprA". RNAcentral also lists the same sequence under 1 other name. The record is from RNAcentral. Lineage: Bacteria; Pseudomonadati; Pseudomonadota; Gammaproteobacteria; Enterobacterales; Morganellaceae.